This is a long non-coding RNA of Zophobas morio, 378 nucleotides long. RefSeq lists it as uncharacterized. The record is from RefSeq and is a predicted model, not a curated record. The transcript is spliced from 2 exons. NCBI's taxonomy places the organism in Eukaryota, Metazoa, Arthropoda, Insecta, Coleoptera, Tenebrionidae.
UUCUCUGGCAAACUGUGUUAUUAGUAUAUUUGAAACGAAAAAUAAAACACAGUAAAAAUGUUUUACUCAACAUGUUUGGCUUUUCUAGUUCUUGUUGUAUAUUCGUCUCAAGCAAGUUCGAUUUGUUCUGAUGGCGCGACCUAUAUUCCACACGAAGACUGUACAAAAUUUUAUCAGUGUUCUAAUGGUAGACCUUAUACGUUUGACUGCCCAGCUGGACUGUAUUUUAAUCCUGGAAUUUUUGUUUGCGACUGGCCGGAGCAUUCUGGAUGUCAAGGAGUGAGAAGUUAAUUGUCAACUCUAUAUUGUUGUACAUAUUUAUUUGCUUAUUCGAUAAUACUUAAUGUAACGACAAAAUAAAUUAUCUUGGGAAGUUAA